AUUUAAAUACAUUAAUGAGGUCUCCACUCGGUCUUCUCUUUUCCAGGCUAAACAGGCCCAGUCCUCUCAGUCUGUCCUUGUACGACAGGUGCUCCAGUCCUCUAAUCUAUACAGAGUCAGAUUUCCAGAACUAACUCCAAUGCAUGCCUUAAACUACUGGAGGUGCUGAACAAAUAUUUGGAUGUAAAUAAUACCCUACUCAAGGAAUUGUUGGGUUCUGGAUAGUCUCUUGAGACCAGAGACUAUGGGAUCUUUUACUGAAGGACUUCUUUAAACCUCUGGAUUUGUUUGAAUGUGAGUUAAAUCUGAUCUUUGCACCUUAAGAUCCCUUGAUUAGAAGGGAUGGUAUAUAAUUGCUUUCUGUUCAAAGUCUUGGUUUCAUACAGCUAAAACAGAAGGGUAUCCAGGAUAUCUCCGUACCACAGAUUUCCUUCUCUCCUGUUGCCAGGGAAUUAGCAUCAUAGUUACACUAGAGGGGACUCAGUUGCAUAAACAAAUACAGUGUCAUUGUAGAUGUCAUAGGGCAUCCCACCCCCUUUCCAACUGCCAGAAUACUGAAUGUCUAGCAGGGUACAUCCUUCUCUGUCUCACCAAGCUGCAAAAUAGUAGAUGGAUACCACUGAUCUGAGAAGCUUUUGAAAAAGCAACCAGGCUGGAGGGAGUAAAGACAACAAGAGAAAUGCUGGAAAAAGAAGUCCUCAAGCUGGACCCACUAUUUUCUCUCCAUGACUGACUCUUGUGUGCAUUUUCUGAAGAGCUCUUCAGGCCCCUGUCCUGCAGUGUGGACAGGCGCCCACGGCACUGCCUGCAGUAAUGGACCAGCGGCUCCCACGAACAGGCACGGACCAACCCCUGCAGUCUGGAUUGGUGAUGUGCUCUGGCCACCACUUGUGACAACACCCUGGAGAAGAGAUCUAGUGAGAGGGAGAGCUCAGCUCCUGAGGGAGAAAUUGCUGAUCCUUGAGAGGCAGCUAGAGCAGCAAGUUUUUUUUUCUGCUGAUAAACCACUGAUGGAGAAGCCCUCUCUUCUCCGCUUCCUGUCUCAACUGCUGUCAUUUCAUUUACAAAAGCUUGUCCCUGUCCCUAUCAGCAUUUAUUUGAGUACAUCUCUGCUGCGCCUGAGUGAUUUAUCUAAACAUCGGCAGCUACUGUAAGUGAUGGAACAGCGAAGCAGCGGCAGAGGAGGGAGUGGAGAGGUUGAAAUGUGACUUCCCUCUUGUGAAAUCAAGCACAGGUGACUAUUCCCAGCAACUCCAGUGUAUUUACAUCAGUCACAGGCAGAGAGAAAAAAAGAGGGCAUUUCAGAGCCUGCUCAGACAUUUGAGACCAUUUAAUUAACCAAAUUAAAAUAUUUCCC
RNAcentral lists this long non-coding RNA (1357 nucleotides) under Anser brachyrhynchus (Pink-footed goose). Its description in RNAcentral is "lncRNA (ENSABRG00000006487.1)". Lineage: Eukaryota; Metazoa; Chordata; Aves; Anseriformes; Anatidae. The record is from RNAcentral.